CCCUCAACAUGGAUUUAUAAAGAGAGUGAGAGGGACCGGGGGUGUCAGCCUAUUCCCCCCUCCUCUUUGCAUGCAUCCCGGUCUGCACAACUCGGAGAGCGAGAGAGAGCGAUAGUGUGUGUGUGCGCUCGGGGAGAGAGAGAGGGAGAAAGUGAGAGCCAGCGAGGGAGGGAGAAAAUGAAAUGUAAGACAGAUACGAAGGGGUGUGGAGAGAGGGCGAGAGGCUGUAACGCGGCACAUUGAUGCAUUCGCUGCGUCCUAGCCGUGCUCUUGCCGCGGGACGCCGUAGAGCUGCCUGUUUUCUUUCAUGCAGCCGGACCUGGAAUAGGGAUAUAUGCGUAAAGGGACCUGAACGGAGCCGGACGAGUUAGGCAGGCUGCGAGAGAGCCGUGAUCGGCUACAUCAUCAUCCUCGGUCGAGCCAGGUACAUAACAAAUCAUCAAAGCCAGGAUUAAAAUUCGUGAAGGAGCAGCUUUGACUUCUGGAUGACUUAAGCGUAUUAGCUUUAAAACCAAGAUGAGGAGUUUCAAGUGAUGUAUGGCAGACUUCAAAGAUGUUUUAAUCUGUCGGUAGGCAGAUGCUUUUACUUGGGCUAUUUGUAUCAGGACGCAGUGUUUUUACAUUCUGAUCGAUAGUUUCUCCAGCUCACACCAACCUGAUGUUAUGUCUUGUUAAACAGCUGUCGUUAAACAGCUGUUCUUCCCCUGUAUUUUAAUCGGUUUAUUUUAAGGUCUUCGGCGGAACAACAUGCUGGAUUUAAAUCCUUUGUUUUAAUAAAUACGUAUGGUUUAAAGGAUGUAAUUGCACUCCACUUUACUCCGCUGUGGUGCACCUGUGUGAAUAUAAAUAUAAAGAUGACAUUGGGACCAAGUAAUUGCAAAAUUGCUCAGAAAAUAAAUUGGAGAUGCUAAAAAUGCCCUGUAAAAAUAGUCUCCCCAUAAAAAUAAUAAAGUAAAAUGUUUUCGUAGGAACAGUGAUUUUUAUUUAUUUAUUUAUUUUGUGUAUAAUGAAUGAGAUUAUUCAUCAACAUGUUUAACAGAAUAUUCAGUUGACUGGACUAUGUGUUUGUCUAAACAGUUUUAUAUUAAACAAGGGUUUAAAAGUUCCCGGCAUGCAUUUUUAGCAAGUUAACUGGUGAUGUGGUUAAUAUUAAUAAACAGAAUUACUGUUUAACCGUUUGCUGACUUUAUUUAUGCUGUUGUUGUUGUCUCUGUUAGUUUUCUUUUGUUUUCAAAAAUUAUAUUUAAAUGGAUGAUAUGAUAUAUCUAAACUAUGCCCAUAGGGACAAAAAAGGACAAGCCCAGCACGUUGGGUUGUAAUUUAACCUAUGCUAGGUUUUUUCAACCCAAAUUGCUGGGUUGUUUUAACCCAUUAUUGUGUCAAAUAUAAACAUUUUCUGCAUUAA
Paramisgurnus dabryanus is the source of this 1405-nucleotide long non-coding RNA. RefSeq lists it as uncharacterized. The record is from RefSeq and is a predicted model, not a curated record. NCBI's taxonomy places the organism in Eukaryota, Metazoa, Chordata, Actinopteri, Cypriniformes, Cobitidae.